UCCUACGGGAGGCAGCAGUGGGGAAUCUUGCGCAAUGGACGAAAGUCUGACGCAGCGACGCCGCGUGAGUGAUGAAGGCCUUCGGGUUGUAAAGCUCUGUGGAGGGGGACGAAUAAGUCGGAGCGAAUAGCUCCGAUGAUGACGGUACCCCUUUAGCAAGCACCGGCUAACUCUGUGCCAGCAGCCGCGGUAAGACAGAGGGUGCAAACGUUGUUCGGAAUUACUGGGCGUAAAGCGCGUGUAGGCUGCUUGGAAAGUCGGAUGUGAAAGCCCUGGGCUCAACCUAGGAAGUGCAUUCGAAACUUCCAAGCUCGAGUUUCGGAGAGGAAGGCGGAAUUCUCGGUGUAGAGGUGAAAUUCGUAGAUAUCGAGAGGAACACCGGUGGCGAAGGCGGCCUUCUGGACGAUGACUGACGCUGAGACGCGAAAGCGUGGGGAGCAAACAGGAUUAGAUACCCCGGUAGUC
Molecule: ribosomal RNA, 465 nt
Filed under: uncultured Polyangiaceae bacterium
Lineage: Bacteria; Pseudomonadati; Myxococcota; Polyangiales; Polyangiaceae
Description: bacterial SSU rRNA
Rfam family: Bacterial small subunit ribosomal RNA
Source: RNAcentral